Molecule: ribosomal RNA, 855 nt
Filed under: uncultured soil bacterium
Lineage: Bacteria
Description: bacterial SSU rRNA
Rfam family: Bacterial small subunit ribosomal RNA
Source: RNAcentral
AGUCGAACGAGAAAGUGGAGCAAUCCAUGAGUACAGUGGCGUACGGGUGAGUAACACGUGGGUAAUCUACCCUUUGGUGGGGAAUAACUCUGGGAAACCGGAGCUAAUACCGCAUAAUCCCGAGAGGGAAAAGCAGCAAUGCGCCGAAGGAGGAGCCCGCGGCCGAUUAGCCAGUUGGUAGGGUAAUGGCCUACCAAAGCAAAGAUCGGUAGCCGGCCUGAGAGGGCACACGGCCACACUGGCACUGAAACACGGGCCAGACUCCUACGGGAGGCAGCAGUGGGGAAUCUUGCACAAUGGGGGAAACCCUGAUGCAGCGACGCCGCGUGAGCGAUGAAGCCCUUCGGGGUGUAAAGCUCUUUCGGCAGGGAAGAUUAUGACGGUACCUGCAGAAGCAGCUGCGGCUAACUACGUGCCAGCAGCCGCGGUAAUACGUAGGCAGCAAGCGUUGUUCGGAGUUACUGGGCGUAAAGGGUGUGUAGGCGGCUUUUUAAGUUUGGUGUGAAAUCUCCCGGCUCAACCGGGAGGGUGCGCCGAAUACUGAGAGGCUAGAGUGCGGGAGAGGAAAGUGGAAUUCCUGGUGUAGCGGUGAAAUGCGUAGAUAUCAGGAGGAACACCGGUGGUGUAGACGGCUUUCUGGACCGUAACUAACGCUGAAACACGAAAGCGUGGGUAGCAAACAGGAUUAGAUACCCUGGUAGUCCACGCCCUAAACGAUGCAUAUUUGGUGUGGGUCAUUCAGUUGAUCCGUGCCGGAGCUAACGCGUUAAAUAUGCCGCCUGGGGAGUACAGUCGCAAGGCUGAAACUCAAAGGAAUUGACGGGGGCCCGCACAAGCGGUGGAGCAUGUGGUUCA